AGAGUUUGAUCAUGGCUCAGAACGAACGCUGGCGGCAGGCCUAACGCAUGCAAGUCGAGCGCGCCCUUCGGGGUGAGCGGCGGACGGGUGAGUAACGCGUGGGAACGUACCCUUUACUACGGAAUAACUCAGGGAAACUUGUGCUAAUACCGUAUGUGCCCUUCGGGGGAAAGAUUUAUCGGUAAAGGAUCGGCCCGCGUUGGAUUAGCUAGUUGGUGGGGUAAAGGCCUACCAAGGCGACGAUCCAUAGCUGGUUUGAGAGGAUGAUCAGCCACACUGGGACUGAGACACGGCCCAGACUCCUACGGGAGGCAGCAGUGAGGAAUAUUGGUCAAUGGGCGCAAGCCUGAACCAGCCAUGCCGCGUGCAGGAAGAAGCAUCUAUGGUGUGUAAACUGCUUUUAUACAGGAAGAAACCUCCCUACGUGUAGGGACUUGACGGUACUGUAGGAAUAAGGAUCGGCUAACUCUGUGCCAGCAGCCGCGGUAAUA
This 491-nucleotide ribosomal RNA is filed under the name uncultured bacterium. RNAcentral describes it as "bacterial SSU rRNA". It matches the Rfam family "Bacterial small subunit ribosomal RNA", at positions 8 to 525 of the family's 1533-position model. The record is from RNAcentral.